AUUGAACGCUGGCGGCAGGCCUAACACAUGCAAGUCGAGCGGAUGAAGGGUGCUUGCUCCUGGAUUCAGCGGCGGACGGGUGAGUAAUGCCUAGGAAUCUGCCUGGCAGCGGGGGAUAACGUCCGGGAACGGGCGCUAAUACCGCAUACGUCCUGAGGGAGAAAGUGGGGGAUCUUCGGACCUCACGCUAUCAGAUGAGCCGAGGUCGGAUUAGCUAGUUGGUGGGGUAAAGGCCUACCAAGGCGACGAUCCGUAGCUGGUCUGAGAGGAUGAUCAGUCACACUGGAACUGAGACACGGUCCAGACUCCUACGGGAGGCAGCAGUGGGGAAUAUUGGACAAUGGGCGAAAGCCUGAUCCAGCCAUGCCGCGUGUGUGAAGAAGGUCUUCGGAUUGUAAAGCCCUUUUGGUUGGAAAGAAAAGCAGUAGGUUAAUACCUUGCUGUUUUGACGGUACCAACAGAAUAAGCACCGGCUAACUUCGUG
RNAcentral lists this ribosomal RNA (484 nucleotides) under uncultured bacterium. RNAcentral describes it as "partial 16S ribosomal RNA". It matches the Rfam family "Bacterial small subunit ribosomal RNA", at positions 30 to 507 of the family's 1533-position model. The record is from RNAcentral.